CACGUAGGGCGCGAGCGUUGUCCGGAAUUAUUGGGCAUAAAGAGCUCGUAGGCGGCCUGUUGCGUCCGCUGUGAAAGCCCGGGGCUUAACCCCGGGUCUGCAGUGGAUACGGGCAGGCUAGAGGUAGGUAGGGGAGAAUGGAAUUCCCGGUGUAGCGGUGAAAUGCGCAGAUAUCGGGAGGAACACCGGUGGCGAAGGCGGUUCUCUGGGCCUUACCUGACGCUGAGGAGCGAAAGCGUGGGGAGCGAACAGG
This 253-nucleotide ribosomal RNA is filed under the name uncultured bacterium. RNAcentral describes it as "partial 16S ribosomal RNA". It matches the Rfam family "Bacterial small subunit ribosomal RNA", at positions 524 to 776 of the family's 1533-position model. The record is from RNAcentral.